This is a long non-coding RNA of Apis dorsata (giant honeybee), 1048 nucleotides long. RefSeq lists it as uncharacterized. Lineage: Eukaryota; Metazoa; Arthropoda; Insecta; Hymenoptera; Apidae. The transcript has 3 exons. The record is from RefSeq and is a predicted model, not a curated record.
GGGAAUUUCAGUAUGUACAACAUAAAAUCGCUUCUUACAAAUUCUAACGUAAUUGAUUACUUCGUGUAAACAUUUCGAACUUGUAUCUGUAAGCAGAGCAUAUACCUGAAUAACGUACGUAACUAGUUUAUAAAUUACUUUCUACAUUUCGUAGAAUUGUAUUGAUCACAAUAGGGAAAUGGAAUAAUCGUGCGAGUCGCUUUGGCUUUCACAGAGAAAGGUGAGGUAGUCCUCUUCUCACAAGAAGAGGAGAUAAAGAAUAGAUAUCGAAAAAAAUCGUUCGGUUGGCUUUUCGGUGUAGAGCCACUCUUUAAUCACGACUCCCGGGCAAAUUAUGGACAGUUAAUUCGCUUGGCUUCUCCUCUCUUUUACGGUUAUUCUAUGCGGUCAUUUCCAUCUCCUCUCUCUGUAGCCAAAGGCGUUCCGCAGUCAAAUCGAGAACCAAUCAAUACCGAUAAUUAAUUAGAAAAAUCAGAAAGAAAAAACUUGCGAGAAACUCAAGAGUUGGAGAACCGGUGGAAAAACUGCCUGAGGCUUUCGUUUGACUCCAAAGUCCCUUCACCCCCUUCAUCAUCGGUAUCCUCUCUCUCCUCUCCGUUGAAACCACCACCACCACCCUCUCCGCCCCCCCUGCUCGAGACCCUAACGAAAGUCCUUGCUCAGUCGGCCUUCCUCGAGUCGGUGUUCCACUCUCUGUUCUUCCUCGUUUCACGGCCUCGUCUCUUAGGACAUUGCUGCUUCCUGGCCUUCGCGCCGCUCCUCGACUGCGCCCGUUCUAUUCAACCGCGAAAAUUCUGCAGGAAUUUUAAUAACUCGGAUUCGUACUGAUUAAAACGGAGGUCGCAUCCGACAUUUCACCGACCAGUCUCUGGUUACUAGUUGGCGGCGGGGCUACCAUAAAAGCUAUGUUAGAGAAUUAUAAGGUAUUCCUUUCAUUUCCUGAUCGUUGAACAGAAAAAGAGGGUGGAGCUCGAUUAUAAGUAACGAACGUGUGCACGUGAGUACGCAGAAGAUAGAGUUAAGUAUUAGGUACGAAAGAUAACCCAGU